RNAcentral lists this ribosomal RNA (355 nucleotides) under uncultured soil bacterium. RNAcentral's name for it is "bacterial SSU rRNA". It matches the Rfam family "Bacterial small subunit ribosomal RNA", at positions 26 to 375 of the family's 1533-position model. The record is from RNAcentral.
AGAGUGAACGCUGGCGGUAGGCCUAACACAUGCAAGUCGAACGGCAGCACAGGAGAGCUUGCUCUCUGGGUGGCGAGUGGCGGACGGGUGAGGAAUACAUCGGAAUCUACCUUUUCGUGGGGGAUAACGUAGGGAAACUUACGCUAAUACCGCAUAAGACCUUCGGGUGAAAGCCGGGGACCUUCGGGCCUGGCGCGGAUAGAUGAGCCGAUGUCGGAUUAGCUUGUUGGCGGGGUAAAAGCCCACCAAGGCGACGAUCCGUAGUUGGUCUGAGAGGAUGAUCAGCCACACUGGAACUGAGACACGGUCCAGACUCCUACGGGAGGCAGCAGUGGGGGAAUAGUUGGACAAUGGG